This 633-nucleotide ribosomal RNA is filed under the name Nostoc ellipsosporum AUS-JR/MT/NT-129. RNAcentral describes it as "bacterial SSU rRNA". It matches the Rfam family "Bacterial small subunit ribosomal RNA", at positions 133 to 805 of the family's 1533-position model. The record is from RNAcentral. Lineage: Bacteria; Bacillati; Cyanobacteriota; Cyanophyceae; Nostocales; Nostocaceae.
UUGGUCGGGNAACCACUGGAACGGUGGCUAAUACCGGAUGUGCCGAAAGGUGAAAGGCUUGCUGCCUGAAGAUGAGCUCGCGUCUGAUUAGCUAGUAGGUGGGGUAAGAGCCUACCUAGGCGACGAUCAGUAGCUGGUCUGAGAGGAUGAUCAGCCACACUGGGACUGAGACACGGCCCAGACUCCUACGGGAGGCAGCAGUGGGGAAUUUUCCGCAAUGGGCGAAAGCCUGACGGAGCAAUACCGCGUGAGGGAGGAAGGCUCUUGGGUUGUAAACCUCUUUUCUCAAGGAAGAACACAAUGACGGUACUUGAGGAAUCAGCAUCGGCUAACUCCGUGCCAGCAGCCGCGGUAAUACGGAGGAUGCAAGCGUUAUCCGGAAUGAUUGGGCGUAAAGCGUCCGCAGGUGGUGAUGUAAGUCUGCUGUCAAAGCGUCUAGCUCAACUAGAUACAGGCAGUGGAAACUACAUGACUAGAGUGCGUUCGGGGCAGAGGGAAUUCCUGGUGUAGCGGUGAAAUGCGUAGAUAUCAGGAAGAACACCGGUGGCGAAAGCGCUCUGCUAGGCCGCAACUGACACUGAGGGACGAAAGCUAGGGGAGCGAAAGGGAUUAGAUACCCCGUGGUAAUCAAAA